CCGGCUGCUCUGAGGCAACAAUGUCGUGCCAAGAGAAAACUCAUUUUAUUUUGGAGCCUGGAUGAGAGUUCCUUGUGACCAGAACGGAUUGAGCAGUGAGUCACCCACCAGACGUUAUUAGAGCUGUGACAACAUGAAACCAGAUGAAACCUCUAAACUCUAUCUGCUUUCCAGACCACAGAAAUGCAGCAUAUUGAAUUUGCUUUGACUUAUGCAAAUUGCAGAGCCUGUUGCUAUUCUCCCCCUUGAAACUGUGUUAUAAGCAGACACAACACGUAUAUGUGAGAGCUGGGACAAGAGAAUCAAGGAAUGGGCAUUCUACGAACUGCUGUGAAAUUGGGACAACAGUCAUGAAGAAGGUACCUGGAAGAGAAGGAACUAAAUAAAUUAAGUGAUUAAAUGGGCUGAAGAUAGACAGGAACUCACAUAAGGAAAAUUAGAUAACAACUAGAGCAGUAGGGAGUUUUUUUGAAAGGGGUGGUGAGAAGAUUGGCUUGAAACACAGGAAGAGAGAAGCAGUGCAAAGGAGUUGCAGAGAAAAAGUACUUGAAAGAGACCGCAUGAAAGAGAAAGUCACAUGGACAAAACAGCGAAGCUAAAAGCAGGGAAAUAAAAAAGGCUGGUUCAGAAAAGCAAAUGACUUAAGGGAAGUGAAUCCUGAAGCUAGUUUAAAGCAAUAUGAAAACAUACAAUGUGCUUGUGUGAAAUAAAGGACAUAGAAGAAGAAAGAACCAAAUGUACUGUGAGAAACAGAAGACUUUUAUCAUAUAUAUAAUACACAAAAAGAGACAUAUAAUUUGAAGAAAAAGUUGAUUUAUUUGCUUCUUUUUUUUAA
Molecule: long non-coding RNA, 835 nt
Filed under: Anas platyrhynchos (mallard)
Lineage: Eukaryota; Metazoa; Chordata; Aves; Anseriformes; Anatidae
Description: lncRNA (ENSAPLG00020010150.1)
Source: RNAcentral